This 774-nucleotide ribosomal RNA is filed under the name uncultured Neocallimastigales. RNAcentral's name for it is "partial large subunit ribosomal RNA". It matches the Rfam family "Eukaryotic large subunit ribosomal RNA", at positions 24 to 647 of the family's 3401-position model. The record is from RNAcentral. Lineage: Eukaryota; Fungi; Neocallimastigomycota; Neocallimastigomycetes; Neocallimastigales.
GUAGUCUCGCACAGAUGCAUAUCAAUAAGCGGAGGAAAAGAAACUAACAAGGAUUCCCCUAGUAACGGCGAGUGAAGCGGGAAGAGCUCAAAUUUGAAAUCUUAAAGGGUUUCCCUUUACGAAUUGUAGUUUAAAGAAGUGUUUUCUGUUGAGGUUUUGGUAAAAGUUCUUUGGAAUAGGACAUCAUAGAGGGUGAGAAUCCCGUAUUUGACCUUUACUUCCAACUUUGUGAUACACUUUCAAAGAGUCGGAUUGUUUGGGAAUGCAGUCCAAAAUGGGUGGUAAAUUUCAUCUAAAGCUAAAUAUUGGCGAGAGACCGAUAGCGAACAAGUACCGUGAGGGAAAGAUGAAAAGAACUUUGAAAAGAGAGUUAAACAGUACGUGAAAUUGUCAAAAGGGAAGCGUUUGACACCAGUGUUGUUUUUCUGAAAAUCAAUUAAAGAACUGUUUAUGCUAAGCUGUUUAGACUUUAUCAGCUAUCUGUUUAGUUUUGAGCUUUUCUUUAAUGCACUUUUCAGUUAACAAGUCAACAUCAAUUUCUUUUGCUGUAAAAAAGCUUGAGGAAGGUGGCUUGAGAUUCGUCUUAAGUGUUUAUAGCCUCUUGCCUAUGCAGUCGGAGAGAUUGAGGUCUGCAGCGUAGAUCCUUCGGGGCUAAAUGCAUUUGUGCUAAGUUAUAGCAUUUUAUAGACAACUUGUUGACUAUGAUUUGUCUUGUAGCUUACUCGCUUAUGUUAUUUUACCUACGCUUAGGAUGUUGAUCUGUAGUGCGUGCGC